Molecule: ribosomal RNA, 1120 nt
Filed under: uncultured bacterium
Lineage: Bacteria
Description: bacterial SSU rRNA
Rfam family: Bacterial small subunit ribosomal RNA
Source: RNAcentral
GGGAUAAGCCCGGGAAACUGGGUCUAAUACUGGAUGCUACAUGUCACCGCAUGGUGGUGUGUGGAAAGGGGUUUACUGGUCUUGGAUGGGCUCACGGCCUAUCAGCUUGUUGGUGAGGUAAUGGCUCACCAAGGCGACGACGGGUAGCCGGCCUGAGAGGGUGACCGGCCACACUGGGACUGAGACACGGCCCAGACUCCUACGGGAGGCAGCAGUGGGGAAUAUUGCACAAUGGGCGAAAGCCUGAUGCAGCGACGCCGCGUGAGGGAUGACGGCCUUCGGGGUUGUAAACCUCUUUUCAGCAGGGAAGAAGCCACAAGUGACGGUACCUGCAGAAGAAGCGCCGGCUAACUACGUGCCAGCAGCCGCGGUAAUACGUAGGGCGCAAGCGUUGUCCGGAAUUAUUGGGCGUAAAGAGCUCGUAGGCGGUUUGUCGCGUCUGCUGUGAAAGCCCGGGGCUUAACCCCGGGUGGGCAGUGGGGUACGGGCAGACUAGAGUGCAGUAGGGGAGACUGGAAUUCCUGGUGUAGCGGUGGAAUGCGCAGAUAUCAGGAGGAACACCGAUGGGCGAAGGCAGGUCUCUGGGCUGUUACUGACGCUGAGGAGCGAAAGCAUGGGGAGCGAACAGGAUUAGAUACCCUGGUAGUCCAUGCCGUAAACGUUGGGCACUAGGUGUGGGGGACAUUCCACGUUUUCCGCGCCGUAGCUAACGCAUUAAGUGCCCCGCCUGGGGAGUACGGCCGCAAGGCUAAAACUCAAAGGAAUUGACGGGGGCCCGCACAAGCGGCGGAGCAUGCGGAUUAAUUCGAUGCAACGCGAAGAACCUUACCAAGGCUUGACAUAUACCGGAUCGUUCCAGAGAUGGUUCUUCCCCUUUGGGGUCGGUAUACAGGUGGUGCAUGGUUGUCGUCAGCUCGUGUCGUGAGAUGUUGGGUUAAGUCCCGCAACGAGCGCAACCCUCGUUCCAUGUUGCCAGCACGUGAUGGUGGGGACUCAUGGGAGACUGCCGGGGUCAACUCGGAGGAAGGUGGGGAUGACGUCAAAUCAUCAUGCCCCUUAUGUCUUGGGCUUCACGCAUGCUACAACGGCCGGUACAAAGGGUUGCGAUACUGUGAGGUGG